RNA transcript from Nicrophorus vespilloides, 3002 nucleotides. It is a transcript of the gene named serine/threonine-protein phosphatase 2A 56 kDa regulatory subunit epsilon isoform, with no coding region annotated. The record is from RefSeq and is a predicted model, not a curated record. The transcript has 8 exons. NCBI's taxonomy places the organism in Eukaryota, Metazoa, Arthropoda, Insecta, Coleoptera, Silphidae.
AUAAAUGCUGGGUUGUAGGUGUUUGGUUGUGAUUUUAUUCUAUUUAUAAAGCAUUUGUAAACUGUAUAUUUUAAAUAAUUGGUGUAUGUAAGAGUGAUUUGCUCUUUGAAUACGUAUAAGAGUAUUUGUGGAGUUGGCAACAGCGCGCGUCAUAUAGUCGAAUGGCGUUUGUGCAUAUACUCAAUGGCGAGUCGGUUUUGUCAUUUCGUGCUGUGGCUUCUCUGAUUGGUGGAGACGUUGGAAUAUUGAAAUCUAAUUGGACUACGUGAUACAAGUGGCGAACAAUAAUUGAUUUUUGGCUAGAGAUUGAUGGGAUUCAGCGUGGAUAAGGCGAAGGGAGAAAUAAUUUAGUGAAUUUUGGAGGUGAGUGUAGCUCAUAGAAGUGUGGAGAGUACAAAAUCUGGUGGGCGACGGCGACAUUGUAUUGAUCAGCGUAGUACCCCCCAUCUAUUUUCAGCCCUAGGUACUUACGGCAUCGGCUCCGAUAGCGUGUGUAAAUUAACGUGAAAAAAGGCAAAAGCCCGUUGAAGAAACCAGCCCAAAAGUGCGGAUCGCGUCGAACGGACCAUUUACUGCAUUUGGAAAGUGGGUGUGAGGUUCACAUUGGCAUGGUGUAGGCAAAAGAUGAUGUAUUUAUGCGGUUUUAACCAGCUGAUGGCGGGCGAAAAUACUGGACAUUUGGUUCGUUUACCCGUUUAGUGUCUGUUAGUUCGGAGCAGACGAAGCCAGGGAUCCUUGAGGCAUCCGUAAUUUGGCCAUAGCGAUCGACCCGCGAGAAGGUUUGGGACGAGUCGUGCCUCUAAAAGUGACCCCGUCAGACUAUUUGGACUCGUAUUUGGGCGUGCACUCCUCAUCGCAAUUCAUACACAUAUACCCCCUCAGACGGGAUCCAUCGAGACGUAUCAUCUGCAUAAGUGCAUAUCCACCCUAUCUACCGGCUGAACUAUUUCUGGCAGAAGCUAGCAAAAACAAAAUACACGACGAAAAAACAAAAAGGGACGGCAACGGCGAAAUCAAUUGAGGCCACAGGGCGACAACAAAAGACUCAAAAAUUGUUUGUGUAUGUAUGCAUCCGAGACGACUGUCGCAUGUUGACAUGCUUAACCGUUUAGUGUGAACCUCGAGAGGCGACGAAUAUCGGAUUUAUAUUGUGUUUCAGUUCCGUGUGCAUUUCUGUGCUGAGUGAUUUUUUGUUUAUAUCUACCGGUUGCGCGCGGACAGACCGACGGACGCCAUGUCUACUACGACGUUCGUCGAUAGGAUUGAUCCAUUUGCCAAGCGAUCACUCAAGAAGAAGACCAAGAAGUCUCAGGGCAGCUCCAGGUACAGGAACUCCCAGGACGUCGAGCUUCAAGCGCUGCCUCCACUCAAAGAUGUAUCUACAUCGGAACAGGAAGAUUUAUUCAUCAGGAAGCUUCGGCAAUGCUGUGUGCCGUUCGACUUUAUGGAUCCCAUCGCCGACUUGAAAGGGAAAGAAGUCAAACGUUGCACGCUGAAUGAGCUCGUCGAUUACAUAACGGGUGGUCGAGGCGUCCUCACCGAGGCCGUCUACCCGGAAAUUAUAAAAAUGAUAUCGGCAAAUUUAUUUCGGACGUUGCCGCCCAGCGAGAAUCCCGACUUCGAUCCGGAGGAGGACGACCCGACGCUGGAGGCAAGCUGGCCUCACCUGCAGCUCGUAUACGAGUUCUUCCUCCGUUUUUUGGAGAGCUCCGACUUUCAGCCCACCAUAGGCAAGCGUGUUAUUGACCAAAAAUUCGUGCUCCAGCUGCUCGAACUCUUCGACUCUGAGGAUCCGCGUGAACGCGAUUUUCUCAAGACAGUUUUGCAUCGGAUUUAUGGCAAAUUCCUUGGCUUACGCGCCUUUAUCCGAAAACAAAUCAAUAAUAUAUUCCUUAGGUUUGUCUAUGAGACUGAACACUUCAAUGGUGUUGGUGAAUUACUGGAAAUUCUAGGUUCUAUAAUUAAUGGAUUCGCGUUGCCACUGAAAGCAGAGCAUAAACAAUUCCUUGUCAAGGUUCUGAUACCCUUGCACAAGGUCAAGUGCCUCUCGCUUUACCAUGCACAGCUGGCCUACUGUGUUGUGCAAUUUUUGGAGAAAGAUCCUACAUUAACAGAACCCGUCGUUCGAGGUUUGCUCAAGUAUUGGCCGAAGACAUGCAGUCAGAAGGAAGUUAUGUUCCUGGGCGAGAUCGAAGAGGUACUCGACGUGAUCGAGCCGUCACAGUUUACACGUAUUCAAGAUCCCCUCUUCAAACAGAUCGCCAGAUGCGUUUCGAGUCCGCACUUUCAAGUCGCCGAGAGGGCACUCUAUUUCUGGAAUAAUGAGUACAUAAUGUCACUUAUGGAGGAAAAUAAUCAUGUCAUAAUGCCGAUCAUGUUUCCCGCCUUAUACCGUAUUUCCAAGGAGCACUGGAAUCCCACGAUUGUUGCACUAGUUUACAAUGUUCUGAAGACGUUUAUGGAAAUGAACUCGAAACUGUUUGACGAGUUGACGGCAACGUAUAAGGCCGAGAGACAAAGGGAGAAAAAGCGCGAAAAGGAAAGAGAUGAACUGUGGAAGAGACUGGCUGAAUUAGAAUUAAGUAACAGUAAGAAGAUGAUACCGCACAACAGCAGUCCCACAGUGAAGAAGUGAUAUCCCUCCAAAAGUGCACCCUAUUAUCCCCACCAGCCAGCAGUUUCAGCCACUGUCUGCGUUGGACCCAGCAGACUAUGUUAAACAUGUGCUAUAUAGUUAAUUGGUCAUCUUGUAAAUAGAUUCUUCGUGGUUAUGUUUUGUGUUUGGACUUUGGUUGGCCACAUUUAUAUAUAAAUAUAUACACGAUACAUGCAAUUUGGAUAUUAUAAUAGCGAUUUUUGCAAAUAUAUAUAAAUGUAUUCAUUCGAGCUCAGAUUAAGAAAAACUAAAACUAAUUAUAACUAAUGAACGACGAGGAACAGGAAAUCUAAUUGUAUUACGAAUUUCACUUUUUACCUGUGAAUUAUUAUAUUAUAUUUUUUUU